GCCUGGCUGGCUCGGUGGGUGGAGCAUAGGACUCUCCAUCUCAGGGUUGUGAGUUCGAACCCCAUGUCGGGUA
RNAcentral lists this transfer RNA (73 nucleotides) under Ailuropoda melanoleuca (giant panda). It matches the Rfam family "tRNA". From Rfam's summary of the family: Transfer RNA (tRNA) molecules are approximately 80 nucleotides in length. Their secondary structure includes four short double-helical elements and three loops (D, anti-codon, and T loops). The record is from Rfam by way of RNAcentral. Lineage: Eukaryota; Metazoa; Chordata; Mammalia; Carnivora; Ursidae.